This 477-nucleotide ribosomal RNA is filed under the name uncultured Acidobacteriota bacterium. RNAcentral's name for it is "bacterial SSU rRNA". It matches the Rfam family "Bacterial small subunit ribosomal RNA", at positions 224 to 704 of the family's 1533-position model. The record is from RNAcentral. Lineage: Bacteria; Pseudomonadati; Acidobacteriota.
GAGGAGCCCGCGCCCGAUUAGCUAGUUGGUAGGGUAACGGCCUACCAAGGCAAUGAUCGGUAGCUGGUCUGAGAGGAUGGCCAGCCACACUGGAACUGAGACACGGUCCAGACUCCUACGGGAGGCAGCAGUGGGGAAUCUUGCGCAAUGGGCGAAAGCCUGACGCAGCGACGCCGCGUGGGGGAUGAAGCUUCUCGGAGUGUAAACCCCUUUCGACUGGGACGAAUGCCUCGCAAGAGGAGUGACGGUACCAGUAGAAGAAGCCCCGGCUAACUACGUGCCAGCAGCCGCGGUAAGACGUAGGGGGCCAGCGUUGUUCGGAAUUACUGGGUGUAAAGGGUUCGUAGGCGGUGUGGCAAGUCGGGAGUGAAAUCUAUGGGCUUAACCCAUAGUCUGCUUCCGAAACUGCUGUGCUGGAGUGUGGGAGAGGCGCGUGGAAUUGUAGGUGUAGCGGUGAAAUGCGUAGAUAUCUGCAGG